This 254-nucleotide ribosomal RNA is filed under the name uncultured bacterium. RNAcentral describes it as "partial 16S ribosomal RNA". It matches the Rfam family "Bacterial small subunit ribosomal RNA", at positions 524 to 776 of the family's 1533-position model. The record is from RNAcentral.
UACGUAGGGGGCAAGCGUUGUCCGGAUUUAUUGGGCGUAAAGAGCUCGUAGGUGGUUUGGUAAGUCGGAUGUGAAAUCUCCAGGCUCAACCUGGAGGGGUCAUUCGAUACUGCCAUGACUAGAGGUCGGUAGGGGAGUGUGGAAUCCCUGGUGGAGCGGUGAAAUGCGCAGAUAUCAGGAGGAACACCCGUAGCGAAGGCGGCACUCUGGGCCGAUUCUGACACUGAGGAGCGAAAGCGUGGGGAGCGAACAGG